This is a long non-coding RNA of Dicentrarchus labrax (European seabass), 268 nucleotides long. RefSeq lists it as uncharacterized. The record is from RefSeq and is a predicted model, not a curated record. NCBI's taxonomy places the organism in Eukaryota, Metazoa, Chordata, Actinopteri, Moronidae. The transcript is spliced from 2 exons.
CCCCAGCCCCAGCCCCAGCCCCAGCCCCAGCAGCCCGGCUACGAUGUGACCCAAAGCAAAGCUGGCAUGUGGGACUUUGUUUCCCAAGGAGGUGUUGGUCCAAGAGGCCCUAGACCAUAUCCAAUGGCAUCUACAUACCACCCCAGGUGGCAGCAUGAACUGGUGCCUAUGUACAAUGGACGUCAACCAUAGUAGGUCCCUGACCCCUUCCUGGAAGCAGUCUGUCUUGGCAUAAACUUUGAAAUUGAAUAAAGUACUUGGAACUACA